Molecule: ribosomal RNA, 372 nt
Filed under: uncultured organism
Description: bacterial SSU rRNA
Rfam family: Bacterial small subunit ribosomal RNA
Source: RNAcentral
CGUAGGUGGCAAGCGUUGUCCGGAAUUAUUGGGCGUAAAGGGCGCGUAGGCGGUACCUUAAGUCAGAUGUGAAAACCCGAGGCUUAACUUCGGAGGUGCAUUUGAAACUGGGGAACUAGAGUGCAGGAGAGGUAAGUGGAAUUCCUAGUGUAGCGGUGAAAUGCGUAGAUAUUAGGAGGAACACCAGUGGCGAAGGCGACUUACUGGACUGUAACUGACGCUGAGGCGCGAAAGCGUGGGGAGCAAACAGGAUUAGAUACCCUGGUAGUCCACGCUGUAAACGAUGGAUACUAGGUGUGGGAGGUAUCGACCCCCUCCGUGCCGCAGUAAACGCAAUAAGUAUCCCGCCUGGGGAGUACGGCCGCAAGGUUG